This 71-nucleotide transfer RNA is filed under the name Aspergillus affinis. Its description in RNAcentral is "tRNA-Gly". It matches the Rfam family "tRNA". From Rfam's summary of the family: Transfer RNA (tRNA) molecules are approximately 80 nucleotides in length. Their secondary structure includes four short double-helical elements and three loops (D, anti-codon, and T loops). Lineage: Eukaryota; Fungi; Ascomycota; Eurotiomycetes; Eurotiales; Aspergillaceae. The record is from RNAcentral.
AUGUCUAUAUGUUAAGGGUAAACUAUUUUACUGCCAAUAAAAGAAUACCGGUUCGAGUCCGGUUAGACAUA